This 669-nucleotide ribosomal RNA is filed under the name Triticum aestivum (bread wheat). RNAcentral's name for it is "partial small subunit ribosomal RNA". Lineage: Eukaryota; Viridiplantae; Streptophyta; Magnoliopsida; Poales; Poaceae. The record is from RNAcentral.
AUGGCGAUGACCCCAUGGCCUGUGUUCACGUUGUUUCCUAUUAACGGCAGCUUCGACAUCACCACAAGGCAAGCCAAAAAAAUGGGUAAUACUUCUCUGGUCAAUGGUUAUCUAUUGGUGAAUUCAGGGCUGCCUUGGGAUCCAGGGACUAGCAAGCUCAGUUGGUAUUUUCACGAGUUUAGUGUUCUGCCAAGUUCAAGUUUAACUGCACUCAGUGAUUGGAUUGAUUCUGAUGAGGACAAUGGUAGUGUUAGUAGUCAAUCAGAUGGAGAAACUGAUGAGAAGGUAUCUGCAAGACUAUUUUUGGACCAAGAGGAUUUGGAUGGUGAUGAUUUUCAGCAGCAAUGUGGUCUUCGUUCAUAUCCAGAUGAGUUUUACCUUUGCUCUGUUGCUCUUUGGGGGGCCUUAUUUGGUUUCCAUCUGAGAUGUGGUCAAGCCUGUUACAACUCCAAUUAUCUGGUCAACGAAGAUGUUCAUGGAGGGCCUUUAAUGAUCCAGCAUACAUGUCUUGAUCCUGGAGAUGAUCUGUUAAUUAGUACUAACCUUGUUGCUCUGGAAUCACAUAUGUUGCAACUAUCUGGCAGUGCCGAUGGACUGAAAUCAACAAGUGUUAGUAUCCAGGUAAUUAACCCAAUCAAGGAGAGAGCUGUGAAAUUGGUUAGACAAUAG